RNAcentral lists this ribosomal RNA (497 nucleotides) under uncultured bacterium. Its description in RNAcentral is "partial 16S ribosomal RNA". It matches the Rfam family "Bacterial small subunit ribosomal RNA", at positions 28 to 507 of the family's 1533-position model. The record is from RNAcentral.
GAUGAACGCUGGCGGCGUGCCUAAUACAUGCAAGUCGAGCGAACGGACGAGAAGCUUGCUUCUCUGAUGUUAGCGGCGGACGGGUGAGUAACACGUGGAUAACCUACCUAUAAGACUGGGAUAACUUCGGGAAACCGUAGCUAAUACCGGAUAAUAUUUUGAACCGCAUGGUUCAAAAGUGAAAGACGGUCUUGCUGUCACUUAUAGAUGGAUCCGCGCUGCAUUAGCUAGUUGGUAAGGUAAUGGCUUACCAAGGCAACGAUGCAUAGCCGACCUGAGAGGGUGAUCGGCCACACUGGAACUGAGACACGGUCCAGACUCCUACGGGAGGCAGCAGUAGGGAAUCUUCCGCAAUGGGCGAAAGCCUGACGGAGCAACGCCGCGUGAGUGAUGAAGGUCUUCGGAUCGUAAAACUCUGUUAUUAGGGAAGAACAUAUGUGUAAGUAACUGUGCACAUCUUGACGGUACCUAAUCAGAAAGCCACGGCUAACUACGUG